This 371-nucleotide ribosomal RNA is filed under the name uncultured Glomeromycotina. RNAcentral's name for it is "eukaryotic LSU rRNA". The record is from RNAcentral. Lineage: Eukaryota; Fungi; Glomeromycota.
UUGAAAGGGAAACGAUUGAAGUCAGUCGUACCGACGAGAAAUCAACUUAUCGUGUGCGAACUUGUGGGCGUGCGUGAGUUUCGGCCUCGCUGUUUGCAUGUUUGUGCGUUUUGGGCGUACUUUUUCGUAUGGUAGGCCAACGUCAGUUUCGAUUAUCAUAAAAUGACCGGCGGAAUGUAGCUUCGAUUUCGGUUGAAGUGUUAUAGCCUCUGGUAGAUGUGGUGAUUGAGACUGAGGAUUGCAACGAAUAUCCUUUGGGCUAUCCGUCUGGCCUCUGAAAGUUGCUCAGGUGCCGAAAGCGUGCUUACGGUCAUCUAAGAUAACGUUCAACAGGUUAGAACGUGAUUACAUUCGUUAAGGAUGUUGACGUA